GACGAACGCUGGCGGCGUGCCUAAUACAUGCAAGUAGAACGCUGAAGGAGGAGCUUGCUUCUCUGGAUGAGUUGCGAACGGGUGAGUAACGCGUAGGUAACCUGCCUGGUAGCGGGGGAUAACUAUUGGAAACGAUAGCUAAUACCGCAUAAUAGUAGAUGUUGCAUGACAUUUGCUUAAAAGGUGCAAUUGCAUCACUACCAGAUGGACCUGCGUUGUAUUAGCUAGUUGGUGGGGUAACGGCUCACCAAGGCGACGAUACAUAGCCGACCUGAGAGGGUGAUCGGCCACACUGGGACUGAGACACGGCCCAGACUCCUACGGGAGGCAGCAGUAGGGAAUCUUCGGCAAUGGACGGAAGUCUGACCGAGCAACGCCGCGUGAGUGAAGAAGGUUUUCGGAUCGUAAAGCACUGUUGUAAGAGAAGAACGAGUGUGAGAGUGGAAAGUUCACACUGUGACGGUAUCUUACCAGAAAGGGACGGCUAACUACGUG
RNAcentral lists this ribosomal RNA (495 nucleotides) under uncultured bacterium. RNAcentral describes it as "partial 16S ribosomal RNA". It matches the Rfam family "Bacterial small subunit ribosomal RNA", at positions 28 to 507 of the family's 1533-position model. The record is from RNAcentral.